Molecule: long non-coding RNA, 228 nt
Filed under: Manihot esculenta (cassava)
Lineage: Eukaryota; Viridiplantae; Streptophyta; Magnoliopsida; Malpighiales; Euphorbiaceae
Description: long non-coding RNA (MESC_LNC012339)
Source: RNAcentral
AUAUGAUGCUAAUGCUUGUGAAUUAUGUGCUGUUUUUCAGAAACAGAAUGAGAGGAACUCGUCGAUCUGCACGAUUGACAGGAGUCCCACCAGAGGAUGAGGGCACAAGCGCCCGUCCUCCCACAUUGCCUAGGGCAAUGUCAUGCAGAACAAACAGAGAAAGAGUAUCAAGGGACCCUAGAAGGUCUUUUGAUACUAGCAGAAGGGGGACAGAAAGAGGAGGAAGUU